GAACUGCGAUAAGUAAUGUGAAUUGCAGAAUUCAGUGAAUCAUCGAGUCUUUGAACGCACAUUGUGCCCCCUGGCAUUCCGGGGGGCAUGCCUGUCCGAGCGUCAUUGCAGCCCUUCAAGCCCGGCUUGUGUGUUGGGUCGUCGUCCCCUCCGGGGGACGGGCCCGAAAGGCAGCGGCGGCACCGCGUCCGGUCCUCGAGCGUAUGGGGCUUUGUCACCCGCUCGAUAAGGACCGGCCGGGCGCCAGCCGGCGUCUCCAACCUUUUUUUCUCAGGUUGACCUCGGAUCAGGUAGGGAUACCCGCUGAACUUAAGC
RNAcentral lists this unclassified non-coding RNA (315 nucleotides) under plant metagenome. RNAcentral describes it as "partial contains 5.8S ribosomal RNA, internal transcribed spacer 2, and large subunit ribosomal RNA". The stretch from base 1 to 105 matches the Rfam family "5.8S ribosomal RNA", at positions 50 to 154 of the family's 154-position model. The record is from RNAcentral.